GAAGAACUUGGAAUCUAGUGUUCGCGGGC
This 29-nucleotide non-coding RNA is filed under the name Homo sapiens (human). Lineage: Eukaryota; Metazoa; Chordata; Mammalia; Primates; Hominidae. The record is from RNAcentral.